GAUGAACGCUGGCGGCGUGCCUAAUACAUGCAAGUCGAGCGAACAGAUGAGGAUCUUGCUCCUCUGACGUUAGCGGCGGACGUGUGAGUAACACGUGGAUAACCUACCUAUAAUACUGGGAUAACUUCGGGAAACCGGAUCUAAUACCGGAUAAUAUAUUGAACCGCAUGGUUCAAUAGUUAAAGACGGUUUUUCUUUCACUUAUAGAUGGUUCCGCGCCGCAUUAGCUAGUUGGUAAGGUAACGGCUUACCAAGGCAACGAUGCGUAGCCGACCUGAGAGGGUGAUCGGACAAACGGGAAGUGAGACACGGAAAAGAGUACUACGGGAGGGAGAAGUAGGGAAGAUGACGCAAUGGGCGAAAGACUGACGGAGCAAAGCCGAGUGAGAGAUGAAGGUCUUCGGAUCGUAAAACUCUGUUAUUAGGGAAGAAAAAAUGUGUAAGUAAAUAUGCACGUAUUGACGGUAACUAAUAAGAAAGCAACGGCUAACUACGUG
This 497-nucleotide ribosomal RNA is filed under the name uncultured bacterium. Its description in RNAcentral is "partial 16S ribosomal RNA". It matches the Rfam family "Bacterial small subunit ribosomal RNA", at positions 28 to 507 of the family's 1533-position model. The record is from RNAcentral.